RNAcentral lists this ribosomal RNA (440 nucleotides) under uncultured bacterium. RNAcentral's name for it is "partial 16S ribosomal RNA". It matches the Rfam family "Bacterial small subunit ribosomal RNA", at positions 338 to 795 of the family's 1533-position model. The record is from RNAcentral.
CCUACGGGAGGCAGCAGUGGGGGAUAUUGCACAAUGGGGGGAACCCUGAUGCAGCGACGCCGCGUGGGUGAAGAAGCGCCUCGGCGCGUAAAGCCCUGUCAGCAGGGAAGAAAAUGACGGUACCUGAAGAAGAAGCCCCGGCUAACUACGUGCCAGCAGCCGCGGUAAUACGUAGGGGGCAAGCGUUAUCCGGAUUUACUGGGUGUAAAGGGGGCGCAGACGGCGAUGCAAGCCAGGAGUGAAAGCCCGGGGCCCAACCCCGGGACGGCUCUUGGAACUGCGUGGCUGGAGUGCAGGAGGGGCAGGCGGAAUUCCUGGUGUAGCGGUGAAAUGCGUAGAUAUCAGGAGGAACACCGGCGGCGAAGGCGGCCUGCUGGACCGCGACUGACGUUGAGGCUCGAAAGCGUGGGGAGCGAACAGGAUUAGAUACCCUAGUAGUC